CGGCGGACGGGUGAGUAAUGCCUAGGAAUCUGCCUGGUAGUGGGGGAUAACGUCCGGAAACGGACGCUAAUACCGCAUACGUCCUACGGGAGAAAGCAGGGGACCUUCGGGCCUUGCGCUAUCAGAUGAGCCUAGGUCGGAUUAGCUAGUUGGUGGGGUAAUGGCUCACCAAGGCGACGAUCCGUAACUGGUCUGAGAGGAUGAUCAGUCACACUGGAACUGAAACACGGUCCAGACUCCUACGGGAGGCAGCAGUGGGGAAUAUUGGACAAUGGGCGAAAGCCUGAUCCAGCCAUGCCGCGUGUGUGAAGAAGGUCUUCGGAUUGUAAAGCACUUUAAGUUGGGAGGAAGGGCAGUAAAUUAAUACUUUGCUGUUUUGACGUUACCGACUGAAUAAGCACCGGCUAACUCUGUGCCAGCAGCCGCGGUAAUAAAGAGGGUGCAGCGUUAAUCGGAAUUACUGGGCGUAAAGCGCG
RNAcentral lists this ribosomal RNA (476 nucleotides) under uncultured bacterium. Its description in RNAcentral is "bacterial SSU rRNA". It matches the Rfam family "Bacterial small subunit ribosomal RNA", at positions 96 to 569 of the family's 1533-position model. The record is from RNAcentral.